AGUGAACGCUGGCGGUAGGCCUAACACAUGCAAGUCGAACGGCAGCACAGGAGAGCUUGCUCUCUGGGUGGCGAGUGGCGGACGGGUGAGGAAUACAUCGGAAUCUACCCUGUCGUGGGGGAUAACGUAGGGAAACUUACGCUAAUACCGCAUACGACCUACGGGUGAAAGCAGGGGAUCUUCGGACCUUGCGCGAUUGAAUGAGCCGAUGUCGGAUUAGCUAGUUGGCGGGGUAAAGGCCCACCAAGGCGACGAUCCGUAGCUGGUCUGAGAGGAUGAGCAGCCACACUGGAACUGAGACACGGGCCAGACUCCUACGGGAGGCAGCAGUGGGGAAUAUUGGACAAUGGGCGCAAGCCUGAUCCAGCCAUACCGCGUGGGUGAAGAAGGGCUUCGGGUUGUAAAGCCCUUUUGUUGGGAAAGAAAUCCAGCUGGCUAAUACCCGGUUGGGAUGACGGUACCCAAAGAAUAAGCACCGGCUAACUUCGUGCCAGCAGCCGCCGUAA
Molecule: ribosomal RNA, 506 nt
Filed under: uncultured bacterium
Lineage: Bacteria
Description: partial 16S ribosomal RNA
Rfam family: Bacterial small subunit ribosomal RNA
Source: RNAcentral